AACCGGAUUAGAUACCCUGGUAGUCCACGCCCUAAACGAUGUCUACUAGUUGUCGGGUCUUAAUUGACUUGGUAACGCAGCUAACGCGUGAGGUAGACCGCCUGGGGAGUACGGUCGCAAGAUUAAAACUCAAAGGAAUUGACGGGGACCCGCACAAGCGGUGGAUGACGUGGAUUAAUUCGAUGCAACGCGAAAAACCUUACCUACCCUUGACAUGUACAGAAUCCCGAAGAGAUUUGGGAGUGUUCGAAAGAAAACUGUAACACAGGUGCUGCAUGGCUGUCGUCAGCUCGUGUCGUGAGAUGUUGGGUUAAGUCCCGCAACGAGCGCAACCCUUGUCAUUAGUUGCUACGAAAGGGCACUCUAAUGAGACUGCCGGUGACAAACCGGAGGAAGGUGGGGAUGACGUCAAGUCCUCAUGGCCCUUAUGGGUAGGGCUUCACACGUCAUACAAUGGUACAUACAGAGGGCCGCCAACCCGCGAGGGGGAGCUAAUCCCAGAAAGUGUAUCGUAGUCCGGAUUGUAGUCUGCAACUCGACUACAUGAAGUUGGAAUCGCUAGUAAUCGCGGAUCAGCAUGUCGCGGUGAAUACGUUCCCGGGUCUUGUACACACCGCCCGUCACACCAUGGGAGCGGGUUUUACCAGAAGUAGGUAGCCUAACCGUAAGGAGGGCGCUUACCACGGUAGGAUUCGUGACUGGGGUGAAGUCGUAACAAGGUAACCGUA
This 728-nucleotide ribosomal RNA is filed under the name uncultured endophytic bacterium. RNAcentral describes it as "bacterial SSU rRNA". It matches the Rfam family "Bacterial small subunit ribosomal RNA", at positions 771 to 1504 of the family's 1533-position model. The record is from RNAcentral.